This is a long non-coding RNA of Calypte anna (Anna's hummingbird), 323 nucleotides long. RefSeq lists it as uncharacterized. The transcript is spliced from 3 exons. Lineage: Eukaryota; Metazoa; Chordata; Aves; Apodiformes; Trochilidae. The record is from RefSeq and is a predicted model, not a curated record.
CUGGAAGUCCACGGUCAGCCACACCACGCUUCCCAAACUCUUCUCCCUUUCAGUGAUCUUUAAAAGGCACUUGCUUACCGCAGAUCCCUAUCCAGCGCCGGGGUGAGGAGCAUCCCCAGGACCACGGAGGAGCCCGCAGCUUCCCGGUCCCAGCGGAGCGAUGCUUCCCGGCGGGACCCCGCGCGUUCUUCCCGGCUGAUGGAGCCCAAGUUUUGACCGGUGCCACCCACCAAGCCAAGGGAAGGAUUGGCCAAGGAGGAAGAGCCAAGCAGCCCAAAAUCCAAAACAGCUUCACUAAAGUCAACUUCAAGAGGAAAUGAAUA